UUCUUUUCUAGUCUUUCUUAUCUUCUGUCUCUCCAUUUCUAAGAGAUGGUUCUGUGUGAGUGGGUGGGAAAAAGAAAGAGAAGGGGGGUGGCACCAGCCUUAGAGGACCCAGCAUUGAUAAAUGGCAGCAAAAUUGAAGAAGAAACUAUUUCGAUUUAUUGAACGCACUUCCGUCCUAGCGAUUUCGUUUCCACACUUCUGCCUUCCCCCGGUAUCCAACAAGCUCUAGGUCAACGGUGACCGGCAGGUAGUCCCUGUCACCAGGCCAUACCCAACCUGUGGUCGUGGGGGCCCUUUAAAACAGUUUUUGAAGCACAGAAAUAAUAAUAGUAAUAGUCAAAACGAGCAGCAUUUCCAUUCCGCAUCAAUUUCCUCCUGAGUUUGCAGGCUGGCUCUGCGAAGCCAGAGCAACUCGAGCCGCGCGUCGGUUAGGCUGGGCCCUUUUUUCGUUGCACUGGAACGCCUUGACCCGGGAGCGGCCGCCCUCCCCAGUGGCCUCGGGCUGGGGCCUGGGCCGUGGCAGCUGCUGGGAAGCUUUGCUGAGCCGGCACCUACUAUCUACUCCCUACCCAGCCGCAGUCCUUUUAGCCGGUCUUUCAGGCCACCUUACCUUCCUUGAAGUUUUCUAAUGCAGGAAUUUUCGGCCCAAUUUAGAAGUCUACAGAAACUCAGAGGGUCAGGUCAUUAGGAAUGUUAACGUAGCAACCAAGAAUUAUAAACAUGAUCUAAAAGUCUCUUCCAAUUCAUUUCUUCAAGUAUUUAUUUGAGUUAAGUGAUGAAAAGUGACAGUUGUGAAAUAGACAGCUUUUAAAAGUAAUGAAGUCAGAUGAGGCUUUAACCUGUCGAUUGCUAUAAAUCAACUUUGAAAAAGACGAAUGAAGAAUAUUAUUUAGGCGCCUAACAGCCAACAUUUGCUGUGCGGGUGGCAGGUCCCAGAGUCGGCCUGUAGGAGCUGCAGGCUGGGGGUACACCCAGAGGUCCUGUGCCUCGAGUGUGGCCCUGGGGCGGUGGAGUCCCCUGAGACCCGGGGUCUGAAGUCACAUUUUGUUGAGGGCGGGUCUCCAUUUCCACCAAGACUUUGAUCAUGGAUUUGGGCCACCCGAGUAUGUCUGGGCAGGUAACCCAGCCUUUAGCACAGUUGGAAAUUCAGGUACUCAAUGCCACGAUGUAGACUGGCAUUCAGCCUGGAUCCCCAGCUGGCUGAGGGUGUCCACGUCCUCCAGCCCAGCGGCUUGGAAGGGCCAGGGCCUGAAUGACACCCUGAUCUUAUUAACUUUUGGGAAAUGGUGGUGGCAGAGGUGGGGGAAGGGGAAGGGAGGAAGAUGAGCAGGAAAUCAUAUUUCCCUGAGGCUCUGGGGGUGGGGAGGAGGAGUGGGGGCUUUGGGUUAUGGGAGGAAACUCCAGGAAGGAGGGGGACUGGGACAGGCAUUUGGAGGUCUUCUGAUGGGAGAAGGAUCUCAAUUCUGCACAGAGUCCAGACGUUUUCUGGAGGGUAAACUGGUGGGGUGUUUUAAAAUAAAUUUUACACACUUUCCUGUGGAUCUCAUUUCCCCUCAAUUUCAAUUUUCGUCAUAGCAGGACUUGAGGCAUGGCCCUCUUCCCAGUGACUUCAACCCCAUGUCCCUAUCCCAUCCCAAGUCUGAACCGGAGAACAUGCCCAGGGUAUCUGGCCUUCUGGGUCGGCUACUUCUCUCUUUCCUCUAACGCUUCCAGAGGUGGGGAGGGUACAGACGAUUCCCCUCUCCUUUGCCGCCUACCGUCGUUACUUCUUAAACAAGCUGGUCAUCCAGUGUCCUCCCUAGACUCCUGGAGCACGAGCAACAGGUGCUGGUGCAUUUCCUCCCUUGAUUCUUCCACCCGUUUCUCUCUCCAUCCUUCUGUCUGGGUCAGCUGGGAGGGCCGGGGGCACCCCUGGUGCUCCUCCCGUUUGAAGGCGGAGAGCAAGCCCGGGCGGGCGAGAAGGCGGUGCCCGCGUCUUUGGGCCAAGUGCCUGGCUGGCUGGCUCUAGGGACGGUCUGUGACCCCGCAUUCGCCUGUCUCAAAAUUCCCAGCUCUUGGCUGGAGGCUGCAACACCGAGGACCCUCUGAGGAUGUGAGACCCAGAAGAAAGUGGAGGUGGGGGGAGGGAGAGUGAAGUGGACCACGCCCUCCCCUGGGACAGACCCUAGCUUCUGGGGGGCUAACUGGGCUGCUGGCUCCAUUCGGCCCCAUCCCGGCCUGCGACGCCUCCUCCCGGCCUGGGAGCUUGGUGCGGACCUCGGGCAACAUCCCCGCCCCACUUCAGGUCCGAUUUCCCUUUUUCUGGAGACCCGAACGCGGACUGGGAGGCUCUCGCCCUAUCUGUGCCCAACUUGCCCUCCGGGUCAGCUGGGGCUGGAACCUGCGCGCCCGAGACUCCGCAGCGGGCUGCGCGGCCACCGCCCCCGCCCGCCCGGCUGGCGCCAAGGUGCCCGGUGUCCCAGGCUGGGGCGCCAAGGGCGCGGGGGCCUCCUGGACCCGCCUGGGUGGAAGGUGGGGAGGAGGGACUGCAACUUCCAGCUUCCGGCGGGGCGGGGGAAAACUCGGCGCGGGAGGCCGGUGGAAACUCCUCCUCCACUCCGCCCCGAGGCAGCCUGGACUCGGCUAGCAGCGCGUCUCCGCCCGCCCGAGCGUUUCCAUAAAUCAGGCCGCUGGCAGGCUGCUAAUUAGCUCAGGCCGAAAAGAAUAGGAAGAGGGAGAGUCCAGUAGUGCUCGGUGGGAUGGGGGGUUGGGAGCGCAGUAGGUGGGAGAUCAGAAUUUCCCCAGGACCCGCGGGCGACUGCCUAGGGCACCUCAGCAGCCCCCCGCCGAGGCCACUGCAGAUCGCUUUCCCCCAGCCGGGGCCUCCAGCCUGGGGCCUCCUGAUCACACGCCUUCCGCACUGCGCGCACCCGGGUGUUGGACCCGGCCCGCCCACCCACGCCGAGGCCCCUUCUCGCACUUGCUGGCAAGCCCGGCGUUAAUUAACUCUCCCCUCGCCCCCUGCAAUAUCGAAGACUUUCAAAACUCAUUCCCAAAUGUUUCCUUCUUAAGCCUGAAGCCUGCGUUUGGAACAACCGCCAGGAAAAGAGGGAGCUGGGUCUGGAAGGAGGCCCGCCGGGUUUCUGCGCCCCUCCCAGUCCUCUCCGCCCUCCGCCGGGAAGGGACUGUGCGAUGACAUCACCGCGGAGACCCGCGGCCUCCCCGCCCCCGGCCCCGGGACCCCGGAGCGGAGAUUGACAGGUGUCGCUCGCAAGGACAAUGCCUUCCAGAUUAGGCGGUGGAGUCCUCUCCGUCAAUGAAGGGACUAAGGUUUCGUGGACAAUAAUGUGGCAAUUGUUGAUGGUUUGUGACCCAUAAAAUGUGGAGGUGACUGUUCUGGCUUUGGUAUGUAAUUAUGCAAAACACUUUCCAUAAAGACUUGCCAUUCGAUCUAAUGGCAGUCCCUGCGGUCUAUUUCAAAAAGGGAGGGUCUAUGUACAGAGAGAGAAAAGUAACAUUUGUUUUAACACAGGUUUUAUGGGGGGGAUGGAUGAAUACAAACACAUCGCAACACCGCCCAAAGUAUUUUUUGGAGUCAAAUUAAAAUAAUUACGAAGGGGUUUAAUAAGUUAAUCAUAGCAACACGGCCCAGCCAAACACAGGGUGUGGGGGGGUUCGGGCUACAACCCACCACCUCCCGACCUGAAUCUGUACUUGAGGGUGGCGGUUCACCUCCUGCUUGUGCAGGGGUGGCUGGCGACACUGUCUCAACUCAGUCCACCUGGGUGCCCAGCUGGGAUCUGAAGCCCCAGUUGGGGGCUGAGAUUGGGGGAGGGGUGGGCCCUGUCAUCCACACCAAAAUCUUGUCUGCGGAAUUAUUUGGCAGAGGGCGUGUUAACAAAGCAGUCCUCUCCCGAGAAGCUCCCCUCUUUCCCUGGAGUGUCCCCAGUGCCCCAGAUUUAGGGAUUUCCCCAGAAAGGCAGGUAGGAGGGAGUGCCUGGCUGAUUUGGGUGAGAAGUCUAAAUCCUGAGCUCAGGCUUAGAGACUUAAGGACUGGGGCCGAGUCCCAGCUGCUGAAGCACCUUUGGAAGGCACCUGAGGAUUUGCUUUAUGUGCUGGUUUAAAAAAUAAUAAUGAUGAUGAUGAUGAUGAUGAUGAUGAUGUUGUAGUAAAGAGUUUAAAAGGGCCUGAGGAGGAAAGGUGGAAUAAGGGGGGUCAUCACUGGUCCCGACCCAGCUCUGGCUGCUAGAUAAAAGCAAGCCCUUCUCUGUCACCUCAAGGGCCCCCAUCCCGCCUGGAUCGGUGCCCCCCACACUCGGAACCACUCAGCAUCCGGCUCUGCAGCCUCGCCGCCCGGCACACAGUGGCACUGCAGCGUGAGCCCCGCAGAAGCCGGCGAGAGGGGAUUUUUCAAGGGGGAAAAAUGAUUAAAAGGGAGAAUCAUCUAAAUAUCAAAGUGACGCAUGGGAGACCUGGAAAAAAAUAUUUAAUCUAAUGAAAAGCAAAUAAAGAAGGAGGCACUUAGGCUGGGAAAUUAAAUAUUAUGUUUAAGAUGGUGCUUUUGUGCGGGCUUGAAGAUUUCCGAUUCAUGUACACAUAAUAAACACUCAGGUUUGUCAUCUGGAGGUGCAAAUCUGAAAGAUAUUCCAACAAAUGAAGUGCUGGCAGAGAGAGGAAUAAAGAGAUCGGCGCCUGUCAGGGGUCAGGCAGCCUGAGAUUGCUUCUAGAGAUCUUUUGAAAAUUUCACACGAUUGAAGGCUUAGGGGCUUCACUGCGCUCGCAUUUCAAACUCAGAUCAGUGGGAUCACAAUCAAAAAUAGAGGUCUGGAAAAUUUUGAUGCAAAGAUGGCCACGGGCUGUAGGGUUUCUCUCACCAGCUCUCUCUCUCUCUCUCUCUUUUUCUUUCCAAGACAGAUACUCCGACAUGGUUGUGAUCCUUUGGAUGACAGAGUUGUCAGAAAAGAAAGAGAAAAUUGCAUCUUGUCUCAUAACUUCCUUUUAGUCAAAAGGAAUUUAGGGUCUUCUUUCCAAUAAAAUGGGGGGGGGGGUUAAUGAUUCUUUUCUGGCUAGUAUAGGACCACAGCUCAAGAGUUCGGGAUUUCACAAUUAAUGAUUGACUCCUGGACAUUUAGGUUUGGCUGUCCUCUUCAUUUUUCUGGCUUAUUAAGAGGAUUUCCCAUUUAGUGUGUGUCCCAGCAUUACACUGAAAUUUCUUAACCACUGUCCAUUGUAGGCAAGAUCAGGUGUAUAGAUCUGAGCAUAUACUUACAUAUCUGUACGCACACACAACGCUAAUCUCUAAACCUGGAGACAGGCCUGGCUGCCUUCUUAUUUUGUGGGAGUUAAUAUUUUGCCCACCUCCCAAGAUGUCAGCACUUUCUGGUUCAAACGGGACACAGAAAAAUCAAUUGUCCCUGUGAUUGAUCCACCAGGGGAAAGAAAAUAAAAGGAACGGGGGUGGGGGGAGCUUCUAUGAGAAAAGAUCAAACUAAGGAACUCUGAAAUGGGAGCAAGCUUAGUAGAGGCAAAAAACUGAUUAGACCGCAAGAGCUGGAGACCACUUUCCCAACAACCAGAAGCAAUAGGAAUCACCUCAAAUUAGUUUCUACUGGUUUAGCGAACUUUAGGAAGAGUAAAAUGUGGACUAAUUUAUCAUCGCUUUGCCAAUUUUAAUUUUUAGCUGGCCGUCUUAGACAAGCUAGAGGUAUUCGGGGGCAAUAAUCUGAAUCAUAGUUGGGUUUCACUAACUCUGAGACAAAGAUGAGCAAAAGUAGGAUCUCAAGAACUUCCCUUAAGUGUAUAUUAGGAGAUCUCUCCUGGGGAGUGACCCCACAGUGGAGAAGAAGCCAACAGAAAGAAGGUCUCCUGUUUCCUGGGUUAUGGACUCAAACUGUUAAUAACCUGGGUCCUUUAACAGGUGGGCAGGAACGGAAAAGUUUAAGAGUUGCACUGACUGGAUUUACAAGUUCAAAUCCUUGGCUCCUCCAGUGUUUGUCCUUUGGGCAUGGGCUGCGAAUGCCCCAGAAUUGAGCGCCCCAGGUCGCUGGGCAUUGGGACAGGCCCCAGCUGCUGCAACUCUGAAGGGAGAACUCGGCCAUGGGUGCCCUGGGUUUGGUGCUCCUGGAAGGAAGGGGGAGCACAGUGGAGAAUGUGUGCCUUUCAAGUCCCAUAUUUAGAGCUUUUGUAGAUGCAAGUAGCCAAUUCCAGCCGCAGAACUGCCCGCCCUGGGACUUUGGAAAGGGCGGCCCUCUGUGUGCAGGGCGGCCUCUGCCCUCAAAAUAUGCUUCCCUAUCCCUCCUCCUUCCUCAGAACCACAGUACGGACAUAGAGAGCAGGUUCCAAGUAUAACUUUUAGAAACUCGAGCAGAGAUGCAAACGAAGGGGAGCUUUCUCUUUACAGAAGGGCCGCCCACAGGGCCCUCGAUCUCGCUCUUUCUCGGUUUCCCAUCACGGACCAAGCCCCCCAGCUGGGCUUUAAAAAGCGAGGUUUUGUGCGGUGAAUAUUCUACCGGGGCCUUUCCUGGCACCCCGGGAAGCGCUUGGAGUGAAAAGGGGCCGGCGGGAUAACCGAAGGAAGCGGGGGAGAGCCAGGAAGGGGUCCCACGCUGAAGUGGGGGGUGGUACCCUGCCUCCUCCCGGCAGGAGCCGCGCCCGGGCCCAGCGGGGAGGCGGCGUACGCCCGGCCAGGGUUCCGCUGACACCCACGCCCCCGCGGGCGUGCCGAGUGCCCGGGAUUUCCUCUCAACCAGGCCGGAGAAGGAUUCCAGGCUCCUCGGGUGGAAUGCGGGAGGUCUUGUGUGUGUGUGGGGGUAAUCCUCCCUGCAGAAUGCAGAGCUGGCAGGAGCCUCGGUUAAAAAAAAAAGAAAAAGAAAGAAAGAAAGAAA
This is a long non-coding RNA of Mustela erminea (ermine), 6863 nucleotides long. RefSeq lists it as uncharacterized. The transcript is spliced from 3 exons. The record is from RefSeq and is a predicted model, not a curated record. NCBI's taxonomy places the organism in Eukaryota, Metazoa, Chordata, Mammalia, Carnivora, Mustelidae.